This 497-nucleotide ribosomal RNA is filed under the name uncultured bacterium. RNAcentral describes it as "partial 16S ribosomal RNA". It matches the Rfam family "Bacterial small subunit ribosomal RNA", at positions 28 to 507 of the family's 1533-position model. The record is from RNAcentral.
GAUGAACGCUGGCGGCGUGCCUAAUACAUGCAAGUCGAGCGAACAGACGAGGAGCUUGCUCCUCUGACGUUAGCGGCGGACGGGUGAGUAACACGUGGAUAACCUACCUAUAAGACUUGGAUAACUUCGGGAAACCGGAGCUAAUACCGGAUAAUAUAUUGAACCGCAUGGUUCAAUAGUGAAAGACGGUUUUGCUGUCACUUCUAGAUGGAUCCGCGCCGCAUUAGCUAGUUGGUAAGGUAACGGCUUACCAAGGCAACGAUGCGUAGCCGACCUGAGAGGGUGAUCGGCCACACUGGAACUGAGACACGGUCCAGACUCCUACGGGAGGCAGCAGUAGGGAAUCUUCCGCAAUGGGCGAAAGCCUGACGGAGCAACGCCGCGUGAGUGAUGAAGGUCUUCGGAUCGUAAAACUCUGUUAUUAGGGAAGAACAAAUGUGUAAGUAACUAUGCACGUCUUGACGGUACCUAAUCAGAAAGCCGCGGCUAACUACGUG